Molecule: ribosomal RNA, 423 nt
Filed under: uncultured bacterium
Lineage: Bacteria
Description: partial 16S ribosomal RNA
Rfam family: Bacterial small subunit ribosomal RNA
Source: RNAcentral
AUUUUGGACAAUGGGCGCAAGCCUGAUCCAGCCAUGCCGCGUGAGUGAAGAAGGCCUUCGUGGGGGAAAGCUCUUGAGGCGGGAAAGAAAGACAGACGGCUAAUACCCUGCCCGGAUGACGGCACCGUCAUAAGAAGCCCCGUCAAACUACGUGCCAACCCCCGCGGUAAUACGUAGGGUGCGAGCGUUAAUCGGAAUUACUGGGCGUAAAACGUGCGCAGGCGGUUGAUUAAGACAGGCGUGAAAUCCCCGGGCUUAACCUGGGAACUGCGCUUGUGACUGGUCAGCUAGAGUACGGCAGAGGGGGGUGGAAUUCCACGUGUAGCAGUGAAAUGCGUAGAGAUGUGGAGGAACACCGAUAGCGAAGGCAGCCCCCUGGGCCGAUACUGACGCUCAUGCACGAAAGCGUGGGUAGCAAACAGG